Long non-coding RNA from Hibiscus syriacus, 156 nucleotides. RefSeq lists it as uncharacterized. Lineage: Eukaryota; Viridiplantae; Streptophyta; Magnoliopsida; Malvales; Malvaceae. The record is from RefSeq and is a predicted model, not a curated record. The transcript has 3 exons.
GAUGUUCUCCUUCCACCAAAGUGGACAUGUUCAUAUAAUGUUUGGGAUUGAAGCAGGUGUGCAUGUUUUGCACCAGAGGAGAUUAGCCCAAAGGAACUGGAGAAUAUUCUCAAAGUGGGUACAGAUUUGAAGGCGGCAAAGGUUCUAGAAAGCCCU